Candidatus Blackburnbacteria bacterium is the source of this 117-nucleotide non-coding RNA. The record is from Rfam. NCBI's taxonomy places the organism in Bacteria, Candidatus Blackburniibacteriota.
CUCGGUCUUUAGAGCGCCUUGGACCCACCUGAUCCCAUUUCGAACUCAGAAGUGAAACGAGGCAGCGCGGACGGUAGUGUAGGGGCAACUCUAUGUGAGAAUACGUCAAGGCCGGGA